This 21-nucleotide non-coding RNA is filed under the name Caenorhabditis elegans. Lineage: Eukaryota; Metazoa; Nematoda; Chromadorea; Rhabditida; Rhabditidae. The record is from RNAcentral.
UAGUGAAUCGAAAACAAAUUU